Molecule: unclassified non-coding RNA, 345 nt
Filed under: Hevea brasiliensis (rubber tree)
Lineage: Eukaryota; Viridiplantae; Streptophyta; Magnoliopsida; Malpighiales; Euphorbiaceae
Source: RNAcentral
GAAUUGUCUGGCGAGCUCUUCUGGAUUUUACUCUAGGCUCACUAGGUAAUGCUAAGCGGUAAUAAACAAACAUUAUGAGGGUUACAAGAAAAAUUGCCGCAUAAAAUAAACGAGAAAAUAAGGUUACAAAGCUAGAGUUCCGAACAACCUCAACUGGUGUUAUGACUGCCAUUGAAAACGCGUAGGAACAAAUCAACAUAUAAACAGGUAAAAUACUAAAUGAGAGUCCGCUUUUGUCUUGUGCAAGUUUCAAAAUUAUUCGAAAAGCUGUUAUGAUAAACAAGCCAGUGAAAAGGUAGUAAAAUAUAAGAAAGUAGGUCUGAGACAUUACUGAUGUACCCGUGA